AAAGUCGUAACAAGGUUUCCGUAGGUGAACCUGCGGAAGGAUCAUUACUGCUUGCUUACGGUCUCGUUUCGGGCAACCGAGCGGGAUCGAGCACGCUACCCUUGCUUAUGUAUACCUAUUGUUAUUCCCUCGGCGGGGCAACCUGCCGCUGGGAUCUCACAAACACCCUUGUAUUUAUAGCAUCAACACUUCUGAAAACAAACAAAAUUAUUACAACUUUUAACAAUGGAUCUCUUGGUUCUG
This 243-nucleotide unclassified non-coding RNA is filed under the name Ascomycota sp. Its description in RNAcentral is "partial contains small subunit ribosomal RNA, internal transcribed spacer 1, and 5.8S ribosomal RNA". The stretch from base 1 to 47 matches the Rfam family "Eukaryotic small subunit ribosomal RNA", at positions 1785 to 1831 of the family's 1831-position model. The record is from RNAcentral. Lineage: Eukaryota; Fungi; Ascomycota.